RNAcentral lists this long non-coding RNA (907 nucleotides) under Struthio camelus australis. Its description in RNAcentral is "lncRNA (ENSSCUG00000009443.1)". Lineage: Eukaryota; Metazoa; Chordata; Aves; Struthioniformes; Struthionidae. The record is from RNAcentral.
GUUUCUCAGGAAAGGAGAUCCAAAGGGAUCAUGNNNNNNNNNNNNNUGAUGUUUCUAAAUCCUUCUGCAACUCUAAUUUUUUCUUUUGGGGGACCAAGUCCGGCCUUGCAGAGUGGAAGGAGAAGUGGGCCAUGCUCCUGCCCUGAUUCCCUCAGCACUGCUGCAUGAGAAGAGCUAUUUGCAGAAAGGAUUUGCCCCUGCGGUAUGGGGUUUCCUAUUUCUCCUGCCUGCUCUCUGGCCAUCCUACGGCUGGAAUUAUGCUGCCUCCAAGAGGGCUGUUUCCAGCUGCAGAGGGGAACCACAGGGCUGUUCAGGUGGCAAAGUGGGGCUACCCGAGACGUCAUACUCACAAUAAGGCACUGAGAAACUGAGACAUGAAGCUGAGACCGGACACUUGCUGGGUGGGUGAAGCCAGAGGGAAGGACCGAUGGUGCUGCAGCGGGAUCGCCCAGCGCAGAACCAGAUGCCGAUGAAGACCGUUCCUGAGCUGCGGUCAAAGAGAAGGAGCCUAGUGGACGUCAGGCCACCAGCAUAUGCCGAUAGUAGGACGCACCAUUCAGAAAUUCUUGGUGGCUGCACACACAAAAUGAUACCGGUAAUAGGAGGGAUGUGUUGCACUAUUGUACGGAGCAUUACAGUUUACCAUAUUUUCAAAGAGCAUAUGAAUGAUAGGAAAGAUAAGGGAAUGAUUACUGAGCAGGAGCCUGGUUCAAUCUGUCUAUCAGACCUGGAAACAUUUGGCUCUUGCAAAUAAUCUUUAAUUAGAUAGGUCACACUAUUAAAGUCAAUGGCUUCUUCUGUGAACAAGGACUGCUCAGCAGGCUAAGCGUUUGUUGAACUGAUUUCUAAGUCUUAAAUGCUCAGAGAAAACACAUUUUUUUAAAUAAAUUCUUGUUGCUGUACUUCA